RNAcentral lists this ribosomal RNA (276 nucleotides) under uncultured bacterium. RNAcentral's name for it is "partial 16S ribosomal RNA". It matches the Rfam family "Bacterial small subunit ribosomal RNA", at positions 29 to 334 of the family's 1533-position model. The record is from RNAcentral.
AACGAACGCUGGCGGCAGGCCUAACACAUGCAAGUCGAACGGCCCUUCGGGGUAGUGGCGCACGGGUGAGGAACACGUGGGAAUGUACCCCUUGGUAAGGAAUAAUAUCUGGAAACGGAUACUAAUACCUUAUAAUGACUUCGGUCCAAAGAUUUAUCGCCAAGGGAUCAGCCCGCGUCUGAUUAGUUUGUUGGUAGGGUAAUGGCCUACCAAGGCGACGAUCAGUAGCUGGUCUGAGAGGAUGAUCAGCCACACUGGGACUGAGACACGGCCCAG